CCAGACGGCCGGACGGCCGCUGCCGGCGCGAGCCGGGAGAGGAAAGUCCGGGCUCCAUGGGACGACGGUGCCGGAUAACGUCCGGCGGGGGCGACCCCAGGGACAGUGCCACAGAGAACAGACCGCCGGCGCCGAAAGCCGCCGGUAAGGGUGAAACGGUGCGGUAAGAGCGCACCGCGCCCCCGGCAACGGGGGCGGCACGGCAAACCCCACCGGGAGCAAGACCGAAUAGGGGCGGCAGGCCACGGCUCGGGCGACGAACCUGAGCCGGAGCCAGGGGGUCCCACCCCGCCGCCCGGGUAGGUCGCGCCAGGCGCGCAGCAAUGCGCGUCGCAGAGGAAUGGCCGUCCCGCCCCGGCGCGCGAGCGUCGUGGCGGACAGAACCCGGCUUACAGGCCGUCUGGCAGC
RNAcentral lists this RNase P RNA (408 nucleotides) under Rhodospirillales bacterium. Its description in RNAcentral is "RNase P RNA component class A". It matches the Rfam family "Bacterial RNase P class A". Rfam says of the family: Ribonuclease P (RNase P) is a ubiquitous endoribonuclease, found in archaea, bacteria and eukarya as well as chloroplasts and mitochondria. The record is from RNAcentral. Lineage: Bacteria; Pseudomonadati; Pseudomonadota; Alphaproteobacteria; Rhodospirillales.